UACAGAGGGUGCGAGCGUUGUCCGGAAUUACUGGGCGUAAAGGGCGCGUAGGCGGCUUGAUAAGUAGGAGGUGAAAUUCCAUGGCUCAACCAUGGAUCGGCCUUCUAGACUGUCAGGCUUGAGCACGGUAGAGGCAGAUGGAAUUCCCGGUGUAGCGGUGGAAUGCGUAGAGAUCGGGAAGAACACCAGUGGCGAAGGCGGUCUGCUGGGCCGUUGCUGACGCUGAGGCGCGACAGCGUGGGGAGCAAAC
This 250-nucleotide ribosomal RNA is filed under the name uncultured bacterium. Its description in RNAcentral is "partial 16S ribosomal RNA". It matches the Rfam family "Bacterial small subunit ribosomal RNA", at positions 524 to 773 of the family's 1533-position model. The record is from RNAcentral.